CCUACGGGUGGCAGCAGUGGGGGAUAUUGCACAAUGGGGGAAACCCUGAUGCAGCGACGCCGCGUGUGGGAAGACGGUCCUCUGGAUUGUAAACCACUGUCCCCAGGGACGAAGCUGACGGUACCUGGGGAGGAAGCUCCGGCUAACUACGUGCCAGCAGCCGCGGUAAUACGUAGGGAGCGAGCGUUGUCCGGAAUUACUGGGUGAAAAGGGAGCGUAGGCGGGACUGCAAGUUGGGUGUCAAAUCUACCGGCUCAACCGGUAGCCGCACUCAAAACUGCAGUUCUUGAGUGAAGUAGAGGCAGGCGGAAUUCCUAGUGUAGCGGUGAAAUGCGUAGAUAUUAGGAGGAACACCAGUGGCGAAGGCGGCUUGCUGGACGAUGACUGACGUUGAGACUCGAAAGCGUGGGGAGCAAACAGGAUUAGAUACCCCUGUAGUC
RNAcentral lists this ribosomal RNA (440 nucleotides) under uncultured bacterium. RNAcentral's name for it is "partial 16S ribosomal RNA". It matches the Rfam family "Bacterial small subunit ribosomal RNA", at positions 338 to 795 of the family's 1533-position model. The record is from RNAcentral.